UCUUUCUCUGGCAACAAAAACUUAAGUAUGCCUCAAAAUGAAAACACCACCACUUCACUGUUUGCUCUUCAACGGUCUCCGAAAAUUGUUGACAAUUUUUAGAGGGUUAGUUAAGAGGCAGAAGGUGCAGCCACCUUCUUCCGUACAAUCCUCUUUCGCCUAGCCUUUGGAGGUGGAGAAUCCGAAGCCGAGUCCUGUUGCUUCAUACCAAGUAGCCCUGAGACUAUUGCAUUCUUUGAGAUGAACCAUCUUGAAGCUGGCUUUCCUGCUGCUGCUGCUUCCUCUGAGGGUCGGUUGUAUGCUUUUGCCAGCAGAUCAUCAGACUGAGCCAGCGGGUCUGCCUCCACACCUAGCCAUACUUGUCUUGAUCUCUCCCCUAACUGAACGUUCAUAAUCCUGUUCCACAUCCAAUCCCAUGUUCAUUAUACAAAUCCUUCCAAGCCAUUAGAAAAAGGUUUCCUAAGGGGUGAAAGAGAAGAAUAAUACCUCAUGGCAGUGCCAAAGAAGAGUGCUACUCCAAUGACGUCAAAGUGGUUGCUCAUCGCUCUUUCGAAUCCACAUAAGAGCUGGUAUCUCAUGUUUGCAUAUAACCCAAGGAAUGCGCCAUAACCGAGAGCGUUUGUUGUGAUUGAUGGAACCGUCACAGAUACUCUGCCAGAACAACGAUUCAAAAAGUUAAUAAUCAACCAUGAGCUGAAAGAAAAGUGAAUGCAGAGAAUGUGAUGACCUGUUUUUCUUCUUUGCCGCCAGAAAGUUUGACAACGAACCCUGGAGAGUUCCUGUUGCAACGCCAAGAAUGGAAAGCUCUGCGGCCUUGUAGAAUAGAGAAUGGAUCCUCUUCUGCAGGUCAAACUCUCUCAGUGGAUAGCUCAUCUCAAAAACGUUGUUUGGCAGCUUCUGCAAUGUAUUUUGCAAGUCGAACCGGAACGUGUUCCCGUAGGAACGACACGGAGCCAGCAACCAAACAGCCGCUGCAUUGCAUGCUGAUACGGUAAGAACAUUUAUGAGCGCAAGAUCCCAUUCCUCUUUUAUUCUGCAAACAACAGAGUAAACAAUUCAAGACAAUGAAAUAAGAAAGCUACAAAACCUAGAGAUGUAGAGACAGUUUAUGUUACCUAUCCUUACGAGUCUUAACUUCCCACCAAACCGAGCAUCCAACCGUGGCGGCUUGCUCCAAGAGAAGUCUAUAGAGAAAUGAAGGAUCCGCCAACAUCCUACACAAAAGACAAGUCACAUAGUCAAGACUGUGAAGAAGAAGAAGAAGUCUACAUCGAGCUAUGGUUCUCAGAAGAUACAUUACCUGCCAACAAAGGCUCUCGACAAUCCUUGAGGAAGAGCACGGGAGAUGAAUCUAGUUGUUGUAGGACGAGCGUUAAUAGCAAGGAACUUAACCAUUUGUGCUGAGCUGACCAAACCCUGCAUACAAGUUUCCAUAAGUGUUAAAGAUCUCAGCAUCCCAAAACCGUAAAGCUUCAAGGACAUGUUACCAUUUCAUACGCUUGACGGAGACCAGCAGGCAAAUCCAUCAUUGUCUUUUGCCACUCGUUCAACACAGCAUCAACGAACUUCCUAUCAAAAAGCUGGAAAGAAGAAACAUAAAUGUCAGUAAAGAUCAACAAAACACAAACGUAAAAGAUCUCUUUUACCUCUGCGAGGAACAUCCUACGCCUAAAGAGACCACCUUCAUCUCCAUCAUCGUCAUCAUCAAAUUCGUCAAAGUAAUCAUCAUCAUCACCAUCAUCGUCACCUCCAUCGCCACCACCGAAAUUGACACUCUUCCCAAUGUCUCCACCACCUCCUCCAGUUGCAAUCUGCAAAAUGAAAAACUCUUACCAUCUCGCAGUUUGGUGAAUCCACUUCACUUCCCACUCUUUCUCUGGCAACAAAAACUUAAGUAUGCCUCAAAAUGAAAACACCACCACUUCACUGUUUGCUCUUCAACGGUCUCCGAAAAUUGUUGACAAUUUUUAGAGGGUUAGUUAAGAGGCAGAAGGUGCAGCCACCUUCUUCCGUACAAUCCUCUUUCGCCUAGCCUUUGGAGGUGGAGAAUCCGAAGCCGAGUCCUGUUGCUUCAUACCAAGUAGCCCUGAGACUAUUGCAUUCUUUGAGAUGAACCAUCUUGAAGCUGGCUUUCCUGCUGCUGCUGCUUCCUCUGAGGGUCGGUUGUAUGCUUUUGCCAGCAGAUCAUCAGACUGAGCCAGCGG
This 2204-nucleotide long non-coding RNA is filed under the name Brassica napus (rape). Its description in RNAcentral is "long non-coding RNA (BNAP_LNC005377)". The record is from RNAcentral. Lineage: Eukaryota; Viridiplantae; Streptophyta; Magnoliopsida; Brassicales; Brassicaceae.